Molecule: non-coding RNA, 406 nt
Organism: Heterocephalus glaber (naked mole-rat)
Lineage: Eukaryota; Metazoa; Chordata; Mammalia; Rodentia; Bathyergidae
Source: RefSeq, a predicted model, not a curated record
CGGGACCUUGGGCUUGUGAGGCAGGUGGUGGAACCACUGAGCUAAAUCCCCGGCCCAAAAGCCACUUUCUUAUGCAGACUCAGCCACGUACUUUUUCAGACUGACUUCCCUCGAGUGGGGGAGGACCUCCCAGUGAGGCCUGUGAGUGCACACAGCUGUGAGCAGUGAGCUGGGCUGCACUCUGCGAGCCGCUGGCCGGUGGUUCCUGGCCUGCUCUGUUGAUGAGGGAGGUGAGAUCUCAUACCUUCCUGCUCCACACUGGGAGACUACAGUAUUCCUGUGUAUGAAUUUGUUACGGGACAUCAGUCCAGGUGCUUGCCGCACAACAGGCCAAUUCACACCAAGAGACAAGGCGCCGAGGCAAGGAAGGUGACUAGAGAAAAGCCAGCAGGACAAGAAGAUGGAG